Molecule: unclassified non-coding RNA, 226 nt
Filed under: Hevea brasiliensis (rubber tree)
Lineage: Eukaryota; Viridiplantae; Streptophyta; Magnoliopsida; Malpighiales; Euphorbiaceae
Source: RNAcentral
UUCCUCAUCAUCCUCAUCAGAUUCAUCAUCUUCAGAUUCAUCCUCAGUUUUGUUUUCUUUGCUUGGCUCUACGGGUUUAGCCUUUUGUUUUGCAGAAGAAUCAGGCUUGGCAACAACAGGCUUUCCUUUGGCAAGUUUAGCAUUCUCAAUCAGUGGCUGAACACUUCCAUUGUCUGCAUUCAUCAAUGGAAAGGGCCCUUCAUCUUCUGAAUCCUCAUCAGAAAAA